CUUUUACAGGCAAUGACUGCACAGCCUGCAAGAGGCCUGUUUUGGACAUUAGUUGUUAAUGUAAGUAAUAAUGAUAAUGAAUUGCCUACUUGAAUGUUGUAUACAUAUGUCUAAAAGGGUUGCCUUUUAAAAAUAGAUAAUGAAUAGAAUAGGCUUUGGACAAAUGUGAUCUCUGAAUGAAGGCAUCUUCUUGUUUAUUAACAGCCACAGGUGUUCUGAGUCCAUGUCUUCCAGGCCAGUGACCCUGAUUGUAAAGGUCACUUUACAUACUGUCAUUUCAUGACUUCUGGCUUUCUCAUGAUGGAUUAAAACAACAAAGGAAUCAGAAAGAAAAAAAGGGAGGGGGAGCUGAUGGGAGGCAAACUCAAUGAGACAUUGCAUUGCUUUUUCUGUAGUCUCUGGUUCCUGGUGAGAGGUGAGAGCAGCAUCCUGGUGGCCUCCUGUAGAGAUGGGGGCUGUUUGGCCGAAUCCCUCUCUCUGCUUGAUCAGCUCACAAAGAGCUUGUGUGCGCUAUGCUGGUAAUCCAGCUCAUCUGUUUCAUCUGCCUCCUGUGAGAUAGGGGAAUAAAAAAUAGGUAAAAUACUCUAGAGAAGCUUGAAAUGACUGAUGACAUUGUCAUGUGGUAUCACUUGGGCUUGCAUAUUAAGUCAUGCUUCCCUCUGCUAUGUCUCCCACUUCUGGAAAAGAAUUUAAAAUCAAACAGGAUAGCUUGAUAGGUAGAAAGCAGAAAUGUGUACAUUACAGGUUAAAUCUGACUUUUUUCUCUGGGAGAAAUAAACUAAGAACAUGAAAAUCGGGGCUCACAACCCAGG
Molecule: long non-coding RNA, 812 nt
Filed under: Homo sapiens (human)
Lineage: Eukaryota; Metazoa; Chordata; Mammalia; Primates; Hominidae
Description: non-protein coding lnc-TBC1D4-8:3
Source: RNAcentral